This 1295-nucleotide long non-coding RNA is filed under the name Eutrema salsugineum. Its description in RNAcentral is "long non-coding RNA (ESAL_LNC001108)". The record is from RNAcentral. Lineage: Eukaryota; Viridiplantae; Streptophyta; Magnoliopsida; Brassicales; Brassicaceae.
GCGCAUUGGUUAUUGGUUACGGUUGACUAAAAUAAAAAAAAGAGUAAAAACCGGUAAUCGAUAAAUGCGAACCGAGCACUAAUCCGACGAAGAUCUAAAAGUGUACAAGGGACCUUCCCGGAGCUCUGCUACUCGAACAACCGGCGUUUAUGCCGAUUCCGUUCAUGACAAACUGGAGAACCGACUCCUGUGGCGAAAUCGGACUCAGCGGUUACCUGAACCCGCUCCAGGAAGAUUUCGCCGACGGUAAGAUUUCGAAUCUAGACCUCGACACCGCUACAGACUCAAUAAACGAACUCCAAUCACCAUUAACCUCAAGCAGAGAUCUUCCAUCCGAAAGGGUGGGAAGGAGGACCCACCGCCUCAGCCGCUUAGAUCGAAUUACCGACCACCACGAAGCAUCCCUCGACUCGCGGCGCAAUUUCCGCCGCAGAUCGACAAUCACCGAUCAUCAGUCGCAGUUCAAAUCUGAGGAGAAGGAUCCAAAAAAAAACUCGGCGGAAAGUGUUCAUUGUUUUUAUCAUAGAAUUUUCUCAGUGUAAUUGCAUUUAAUCUUGCGUUGAAUAACUAGGGCUACCGUUCCUUGCUUUUCUUACAAGUUCGUAUCUUUUUUCCGAUGGGGAUUUAUUUCUAUCUUCACGCAGGUAACUGAGAAGAUGAGUGAAUGUAAAGAAAAGCUAAACCAAGCCUGUACUUGAGAUCAAAUGAAUGGCAAUUCUGAAGAUAGACCAUUACCAAAGGCUGCCUCUUUGGUUCCCAGUGAUCUUAGCGUUGUAGAAACUGAGAAACCCGAGGUACAGAAUGCUACCGUGGAAGUUGACUCCGACAACUUGGAUUAUAAUUGACGAUGCAUAUGACGUUCUGAAUGUAUUUUUUAUUUUUGUAUGUCGUCUGUGCACCUGUUUACAUUACUUUCAAUCCCAUUUAGCAUCAGUACAACCCAUAUAGGUCCAUAACUGUUAUAUCUAUCUAUUUGGAGAUUAAAAAAUGUUAUUGUUUUGUUAUCAAUCGUUUAGAAACAGAGAAAUGAAAAUCUCGUUUUUCUGAAUUCUUCUUCUUAUUUCUCUUAAACCAAACAAUACAGAGAGAGUCCCUUUAACCAAUACACAGAAUGCUAAUGGCCAGUAUGAAAGCAACACUGCUCACGAUUGUACCAGCCAGGGUAUGGACCUCGUGAAACCCAUUCCUGCCACUGCGAGUAACCCACUACAAAUAGCUCGCCUACUGAUUCUACACCCCAGUAGACGCAAGAAGAACUCUCCUUGCAGAAUCAUGGUUGCCACACCCAAGGCCAU